GACACCACUGGCCAAUCAUUCUUUGCUGAUUUUGAUGAGAUGAAUGAAGGUCCUGCAGACUCAAAUGGUCCUCCAGAAGCUUUAGUUCGAGAAGCUGCUGAUGAACAAGACAAGUCUUCAUCUCCCCUCGCUGGUGAGGGUCAUCCAUCUCCCCCUGCUGGUGAGGGUCCUCCAUCUCCCCCUGCUGGUGAGGGUCCUCCAUCUCCCCCUGCUGGUGAAGGUCCUCCAUCUCCCCCUGCUGGUGAAGGUCCUCCAUCUCCCCCUGCUGGUGAAGGUCCUCCAUCUCCCCCUGCUGGUGAANNNNNNNNNNAAGUCUUCAUCUCUAGGCUCUUUUGGUGAGGCGCUUCCAGUAGGAGCGAAGGUAGAGGAACUUGGUGGGCCCUCUGUUGGUGAGGAGGAUACUCCAGGAAGUUCUAGCAACAAAAGCGAGCCUGAUGUGAGUCGAAAUGCAAAAGCUAAAUACAAACUCGCCAUUAUCAUCAUCAUCAUUAUUAUCAUUCUAUUCUAUUUGAACCCUAACCAUGUCCAACCUUGGGAAUUAUGGGAACUCUUUUUAUAUUGCCGGUUUUUGCCUGAUUGAAAUACAUUGUUUGCCCAAAAUACGCAGCUUAAACUGAGUAAUAAACAUGCAUGUGAAUAUGUGUGAACAUGCAGAUUUAAACUAAUCCGCAGCUCAAACUCCAUAUGUUAGUGUUCCUGUUUUGAUUAAAUGAUUUCUAUUUGCUAACAGAUUGCUCCUG
This is a long non-coding RNA of Gasterosteus aculeatus (three-spined stickleback), 740 nucleotides long. Lineage: Eukaryota; Metazoa; Chordata; Actinopteri; Perciformes; Gasterosteidae. The record is from Ensembl.